Molecule: unclassified non-coding RNA, 4351 nt
Filed under: Bactrocera tryoni
Lineage: Eukaryota; Metazoa; Arthropoda; Insecta; Diptera; Tephritidae
Description: uncharacterized LOC120775353, transcript variant X1
Source: RNAcentral
GAGCACCACAUAGCAGCUAGUGAAAGUUUGCACAACGCCACUGAUGUGCAUAUUUUUAGAAAAUUUUGCCAGCGAAUGAAAUACAUAAAUUGCAUUUUCCUGGGCUAUAAUAUAAGUGUUUUUAGUAGAUUUCAAGUUAUAGCCACAUAUAAACGUAUUAAUUUGUUAAGUUAACGGAAAAAUCAUCAUUGGUGCUACAAGGUGAGAUCGAAGAUUUUGAAUAUCCAUAUAUCUCGCAUAUCAGCUUAUAUGUACAUACAUAGUUACGUACAUAUAUACGCAAUUUAGGGUAUAUGAAUAUUGGUGUAUGUGUACGAUACGGCCGUUAUAUCAUAUUGGUUGCCAUCUGCGAUUUGGCAAAUGUUUUUGUUAGCGCCACACUGUCGUGAUAUCUCGUUUAAGUAUACCAAACAUGUCUGAUCGUAUGGGGCAUGGACGCGGUCCAUUUCAAACACCAUUGAUCAGCGCAACAUUUAGUAUAAACAAAUUAUGGAUUUGUGCACUUUUGGUGAUCUUUGUCUUUCCACAUACCUCAUAUGAAUUAUUUGAGUUUGGAGGCGUUGCCAAGAGUGGAAGUGUUGGAGCAACUGUGGACGCUAAUAAACCCAUAGGAAAGCGUCCAUUUGAGAAGAAAUUCAAAUUUCACAAAAUUGAACGUGUAUACUUCGAUGAAGCGGAAGGGCAAUACGACGAGGCCAGCGCUGGUGACGACGACGACAAAAACGACGACAUUGUUGACGAAAAUAUGAAAAGAAACGAAGACGACGACACAAGCCAAGCUAUGGAUGCUAGCGAGCAAACAACUGAGUCAGAAGAAUUGCCAUUCAAACGGGCGCGAACAGCUCAUAAGGAGCGGAGAAGUGCCACCUCCUCCUCCACAAAGUCGAAUGGCGAAAAGCGCUCAUCUAGCGAAAAGCGGAGAGACUCUACACAUGGUGAUAAAAGUGAAGAGUCACAAUCUGUUUUCGGCUCAUUAUUUGGUUCUCUCUUUGGUGGUGGGGCAAGCAGCAAUGAGAAACUAACAAGUGAGGAAGACAAAUCUGCUGAAAAAAAAGAGCCGUCAAACAGCAUUAUCGAUUGGCUAAAAUGGUUUAGUGAGAGAAAGGAAAAUGUUGAGAGCCAAGAGACUGCAGAAAAUGAAGAAGCAGAUGCGGAAACGUGGUUUUCCUAUCUGAAUCGUUGGCCAUUCAAUACACUCUUUAACAUUGGCAAACCUGAAAAACCUAUACGCAUGCCUAGAGGUGGUCGCGAGCCCAAGCAAAAAGCUGCUUCCGCAGAAGAUGGAGACGCAGAUGAGGCAACGCCGGUAAUGUCUCAGGAAAACUUCGAAACUGUGUUGCACACACUACCAAGUUUUGUCGUGAAUCCAGCGGAAGUAGACAACACCGAAUGUAGACAGCAAUUGCAAAUUUUUGGCAGGCAGUUGCGUGGCAAUAAAUUGUGGACUUUACAGAUGUUGGAUGCUACAGGCAAAAUCACAUCGGGAGUGUUGCGCGGCAACAUCAAUCAAUUCGGAGACUUUGAUCAGUGCAUGCAAGUGAAGACUGUGGUUAAGGUAACACCAGAAAUUCCGGUGCGCAUUCGAGGUAAAUACUGUCUCGCCCAUAUUGAAAUGCAGACCACAUCCAAAGAGCUUAAGGUACCCUUACAUUACGCACAAGGACGAGGCCUCUGGGGCAGUCAUUUCGGCAACCCCAGUCAUUUUGUUCCACGCUAUAGCAUCGCUAAUUGGGGUGUGUGCAUACCGCACCUUUGCAACGGCGAGGUUGUACAGAAAAUGCUUGAGUCGAACCUGCGACCCUACAAUACAACAGGUUUGGAAUUUCACGUGGAGGUCGACGAUGAUGACUGCUACACGCGAUCCAACGUUAAGUUGAUGAAACUAAUUAAAAAGGAUCCGAAAUUCACCACAACAAUUUCCUGCAUUUGUGGGCUCAUAACAUUGUGCAUGGGUUCACUUCUUUAUAAAUACUGCCGCAAUAUCAAAGACUGGAUUGUUAAGAAAAUGGAAAUUUCCAAAAACGAAUCAAAUGGCGAAACCGAAAGAAGUGAGGAUGACACAGAAGCAGUUACUGAGACCGAAGAUACAGAAGACAAUCGAGACUCUGAAAUUGGCAAGGAAGAAGAAUUGCCCGUUAGCUUGCUUCAGUCACUGAUGAACUUAUUGCAAGACAUCCUCAAUGCUUUCUCACCCCAACGUACUUUGUUUGAACUGCUUGGCAGUGACCACUUCGAAACGCAAUUCCCAAUCUUCAAUGUACUAAAAUUGGGUGCUUCGUUCGCUCUUUAUGUUUGCUUCAAGUACAUAAUGAUUGGUCAUCUGCCCAUCAUCAACCGUGAUAAACUAGUUCGGGCUUUGGACCAACCACAGAGCGUAUUGUUCCGAUCGCCACUGAUCUAUAUGGAUGUGCUCUUAAUGAUAAGCGGUUUCUUUGUGGCUUAUCAAUUGGCCGAAGAGAUCGAGCAAAAAACGCAUAUUCAAUUGCUGAAGCGUAUGGCUUUGAAAAUAUCACGCUAUUUGCCAACUUUGUAUGUGGUGCUGCUCUUCCAAACAUACGUGCUUCCACGGCUUGGCGCCGGUCCGCUUUGGAUGAACUUGGUUGGACAAAACACGCGCUUGUGUGAACAGCAAAUGUGGCGCAACCUUUUCAGUGUGCAGAAUGCAAUCGACUUUGAGGAUACGUGUUCACCCAUGACCAUACAAUUAGCUCUUGAAGUACAACUCUAUAUACUAGGUCCUUUGAUUGUGUGGCUCUAUCACACCGAUGCGGAUGCAGCCUUCUUCAUUUACGGCGCCCUCCACGUAAUGUCCGUGGCAGCACGUUAUUCUCGCACGCAAAACGAAUACUUGUCCGUGACUCUGUUCCAUGGAAUGAACAUAAGCAAGUUCUAUCGCACGGCUAAUAUGCUAUACUCCUCCCCAAUAAGUCGCGGAACGGCCUAUCUACUUGGCCUUGGCACCGGUCUAUUUCACCGUUCCCAAUCGGGAGUUAUAGAAAUCGCCAGUGAGCUUAAGCCUGUAGGGUGGUUGUGCGCUAUUUUGAGUUUGGUUUGGUGCUUCUGGGCCCCAUCGGUAGGCAUGCGCAGUGAUUUUGUUUACACAGCUGGAGAUGCGGCCUCCUAUGCUGCUUGGUGUCCUCUUAUACUUGGCUUAGGGCUGGCGUGGUGUAUCUUCAUGUUCCCAAGGGAUGAAAACUCUGUGCUGCGGUUUAUCACCACAAUGCGACCAGUAUUGUUCCUUUCGCGCAUAACGUUCCCCAUUCAAUUGAUGACAUAUGUCGUAGUGCUCUAUAACACUGCUAGUGUCACCGAGCCACGAAAAUAUCAUCUAACUGAUUUGGUAAACUUCAACGAGAUUGCUGUAAUUAUAGCCAGCGGGGGGGCAGUGGCCUUUUUAAUCGAUGUUCCAGCCCAACACUUACGAAAGAUUGUAAUUAAUCGGUUGUUUAUCGAACGCCAAGAGCGCGAGCAUGAUCACGAAACUGAACCCAGUUCGGGUGCUGAGGCUUCCGAACCAGAAGCUGAUGUCGAAGAUGAGUGCGAAGCCGAUGGCAAGGUAACAGAGAUCAGCGAAGAGCAGUCUAAAGAUGAUACAGCAGACAUUUGGGGUACUGAAGAUGUCACGGAAGAUUUGGCUGUAACGAAUAAUAGCAACGAAGAAAAUACAGUAGCGGAUGAGGAUGAAGAGAUUGAUGAUAAGGAAAUAGAAAUAUCGGAAGAAGACGAAGUAAAGAAGCGACCACUAAAAGACGAUAACGUAGAGAAAGACACAACAAGUUUUACACGAAGGCAACGACGAAUCAGCGAUGAUUAGAAGAAUACCCACAAUAAUGAUGGGAAUACGAUUAUGCUGCUUGUACAAAAAUUGGGAGCGGGAUUUUAGUCAGGAAUGUAUGUUUUAUGGAAGAACUGCAGUAAGGAAGCUGUUGAAUUUCCAUUCUUUCACCUAGUACAACUUAAUGGCGGCGUGACCAGAGGAAUUAUUGUUUACUUUUAAGCGAAUGAACAUGCAUACAAAUCACACAAGGAUAAAAGACAAUUCGAAGCCGGUUUCAAUUUAAUUACUGGAAAUUAAUUAAGAAAAAAAAUACUCGUACAUGGGUUCCCCUGAAUGUUGGAUACAUCGUUCAUUUCAUGAAAACUAUUUCUGCAUCUCUUGUAAUGAUUCCCAACUGAAUUAAAUUGUAUCAGCGCUUAACGACCCGACGACAAAUCAACCAUAGACAACACGAACCGAAACACGAAUCCGACAUCCUUUCAAAAGUGUUUAAUUGUUAUACAUCUAUUUAUUUAUACUAUAUAUAUUUACUUAUAAUUGUGUGCACAUUAGUCACAUAUAUUUAAAUACAAA